RNAcentral lists this ribosomal RNA (164 nucleotides) under Daboecia cantabrica. Its description in RNAcentral is "5.8S ribosomal RNA". It matches the Rfam family "5.8S ribosomal RNA". Rfam says of the family: 5.8S ribosomal RNA (5.8S rRNA) is a component of the large subunit of the eukaryotic ribosome. It is transcribed by RNA polymerase I as part of the 45S precursor that also contains 18S and 28S rRNA. Lineage: Eukaryota; Viridiplantae; Streptophyta; Magnoliopsida; Ericales; Ericaceae. The record is from RNAcentral.
UAAACGACUCUCGGCAACGGAUAUCUCGGCUCUUGCAUCGAUGAAGAACGUAGCGAAUUGCGAUACUUGGUGUGAAUUGCAGAAUCCCGUGAACCAUCGAGUCUUUGAACGCAAGUUGCGCCUGAAGCCAUUAGGUUGAAGGCACGUCUGCCUGGGCGUCACGC